GUUUAUGGGUGGGCCAUGAUGGGGAUGCGCGCGAGCGCAUGCCGGUUUCCUACUUACCGGUUCGCCAACCUUGUCAUGUGCCCGCCCACCUCA
Molecule: non-coding RNA, 93 nt
Filed under: Paraburkholderia sp. BL18I3N2
Lineage: Bacteria; Pseudomonadati; Pseudomonadota; Betaproteobacteria; Burkholderiales; Burkholderiaceae
Source: RNAcentral